ACCAAUCCCUAUCUACAAAAACAGUUUUAUUUUAGGAACUCCUUGAUUUUAAACUCCUAAUCUUUGUUCCACUGGAUGGCUUGAAUCUUUUCCAAGAUAGUUGAUGAGGGUAAACAUCCUCUCAGGAUAAAGAUGAGUGAUGCUCUUCAAAGAUUUUAGCAAAAGCAGAGCUAAUAGCAUCUGUAUAAAUAUAGAAAUGGAAAACUUAGCUAUUUGCUUGCAGCUUUAAAUUCUGAAUGAUUUCCUUUUGACUAUUCAUUAGGCAAUUAUGAUAUUUACAUAUAAAGCUUAAUUUUUUAAAAUGCUUGUAUAUCAUUAUUUUCUACAAGCAAAGAUACUAUCCAGCAUUAAAAAUAGAACACUUAUUUCACAG
Molecule: long non-coding RNA, 373 nt
Filed under: Bos taurus (domestic cattle)
Lineage: Eukaryota; Metazoa; Chordata; Mammalia; Artiodactyla; Bovidae
Description: long non-coding RNA NONBTAT000850
Source: RNAcentral